UUAGUCAGAGUUGACCAAAAAGUUAACCGUUUAAUAAAGUCAACUAUUGGUCAAAGUUGCUAUUUUUUUUUUGUAUUUUUGUAUGAAUGAUGUAAUCUUGCAAUGAAAUGGGCACUUGUAUGAAAAUGACUCUUUUAUUUCAAUGAAACAAUGCCUUAAUUUCAAAUAAUAUUUUCCCACCAAAAUCCAUAUUUGAAUUGCUAGUUUGAAUCAUGCAUCAUAG
RNAcentral lists this long non-coding RNA (223 nucleotides) under Lathyrus oleraceus (garden pea). RNAcentral's name for it is "Pisum sativum (pea) long non-coding RNA (PSAT_LNC006895)". The record is from RNAcentral. Lineage: Eukaryota; Viridiplantae; Streptophyta; Magnoliopsida; Fabales; Fabaceae.